Molecule: long non-coding RNA, 1015 nt
Organism: Quercus lobata
Lineage: Eukaryota; Viridiplantae; Streptophyta; Magnoliopsida; Fagales; Fagaceae
Exons: 4
Source: RefSeq, a predicted model, not a curated record
CUGCUCUGCCAUUCUCCCACACGCAACCUUUUCCUUCCUCUGCCUUCUCCUUCCUCCAAAACGCAGACUGUCGUUCCCCUACACGCAAAACGCAGCUCAACGGCUCCACCUUCAGUCCAAAACGCAGGCCACCAUUAGCCCUUCUCUCCCACAACUCAACGGUUCCACCUUCUCCGGCACCACCCUUCUCCAGCUCUACAUUUGUCAGUGCUACCCAUCUCUCACCCUCAGUUCUUCUCUCCCACAACACUGUCGACACUUGGGUUUCUACCACCAGGAAGUGGAAGGAUAUUGUGGAUGAAUCAACCUGGGGAACACACAUCCUCUACUUUAAUGGCUGAUGGAGACUCACCUCAGUAGAAAGUUACUCAAAAUGGUUAUAAGUUGCUAUAAGUUGAUUUUUUUUGGGUUAUCUUUGAAUUACAGCAGGUACUGUUAGUGAGAAUUUGUAUUGCAACUCCCAACUAAAACUGUGAGUUAUAAUUUUGUUAAUAGAGAACUAUAAGCGUUUAGAAUUUUGGUUAAGAGUAAUGAUUUUUACUGAUAAGUUCUUUGGAAUUUUGGUUUUCUUUUUAAAAUUUUCUUAUUGAAUAGAUGUAAGCCUCAAAAGUUUGAUUCCCUUGCUCUUUCUUAUUUCACUUUUAUGCUAUUGGUUAAAUGAUUUGUGAAGCUUUCUUUAAUUUACAACCUCUCUCUUUUAGUUUAUUUGAUUGCAACUCAGAAAAUGAAGAGAUAUGAAGAGUAUGUUGGGAGAGGAGCGUUGAAGAAGAAGAAUGAAGAAAAAUUGAGAGAGGGAAGGGAAAAUGCAAGAAGCAUAACAGAAAGUCAAAAACAUAAAAUUUAGUGCUAUAUACAAAGACAAAAGAACACCUCAAUCAGAAUGAGAAAGGAUGUAGGUACCCUCACAUCAUCAAAAGCGGUGGUUUUCCCGUAGAUAUCCCUCUCAUUGACAUCGACACUAUUCUACAAAGCAGGCUCCCUCACAAUCUUCUGAGCAUUUGCAGCAUCAUCAUCA